UACAGAGGUCCCAAGCGUUGUCCGGAUUCACUGGGCGUAAAGGGCGCGUAGGCGGUCGGGAAAGUCGGAUGUGAAAUCUCACAGCUUAACUGUGAAACUGCAUUGGAUACUAUCCGGCUCGAGGAAUGGAGGGGAGACUGGAAUACUUGGUGUAGCAGUGAAAUGCGUAGAUAUCAAGUGGAACACCAGUGGCGAAGGCGAGUCUCUGGACAUUUCCUGACGCUGAGGCACGAAAGCCAGGGGAGCAAACGGG
RNAcentral lists this ribosomal RNA (253 nucleotides) under uncultured bacterium. RNAcentral's name for it is "partial 16S ribosomal RNA". It matches the Rfam family "Bacterial small subunit ribosomal RNA", at positions 524 to 776 of the family's 1533-position model. The record is from RNAcentral.